Molecule: ribosomal RNA, 253 nt
Filed under: uncultured bacterium
Lineage: Bacteria
Description: partial 16S ribosomal RNA
Rfam family: Bacterial small subunit ribosomal RNA
Source: RNAcentral
UACAGAGGUCUCGAGCGUUAGGCGGAAUCACUGGGCUUAAAGCGUGUGUAGGCGGAUCGUUAAGUACCUUGUGAAAUCCCACGGCUUAACCGUGGAACUGCUUGGUAUACUGGCGGUCUUGAGCCAGCUAGGGGCUACCGGAACAAAUGGUGGAGCGGUGAAAUGCGUAGAUAUCAGGAGGAACACCAAUGGCGAAGGCAGCACUCUGGGACGGUACUGACGCUGAGACGCGAAAGCGUGGGGAGCAAACAGG